Molecule: ribosomal RNA, 207 nt
Filed under: uncultured bacterium
Lineage: Bacteria
Description: partial 16S ribosomal RNA
Rfam family: Bacterial small subunit ribosomal RNA
Source: RNAcentral
UGUGUAGGCGGUUCUCUAAGUCUGGUGUGAAAUCUCCCGGCUCAACUGGGAGGGUGCGCCGAAAACUGGAGGACUAGAGUGCGGGAUGGGAGAGUGGAAUUCCUGGUGUAGCGGUGAAAUGCGUAGAUAUCAGGAGGAACACCUGUGGUGUAGACGGCUCUCUGGACCGCAACUGACGCUGAGACACGAAAGCGUGGGUAGCAAACA